This 120-nucleotide ribosomal RNA is filed under the name uncultured bacterium. Its description in RNAcentral is "partial 16S ribosomal RNA". It matches the Rfam family "Bacterial small subunit ribosomal RNA", at positions 215 to 334 of the family's 1533-position model. The record is from RNAcentral.
UCGGAGAAGGAUCGGCCCGCGUUGGAUUAGGUAGUUGGUGGGGUAAUGGCUCACCAAGCCGACGAUCCAUAGCUGGUUUGAGAGGAUGAUCAGCCACACUGGGACUGAGACACGGCCCAG